This 497-nucleotide ribosomal RNA is filed under the name uncultured bacterium. Its description in RNAcentral is "partial 16S ribosomal RNA". It matches the Rfam family "Bacterial small subunit ribosomal RNA", at positions 28 to 507 of the family's 1533-position model. The record is from RNAcentral.
GAUGAACGCUGGCGGCGUGCCUAAUACAUGCAAGUCGAGCGAACAGACGAGGAGCUUGCUCCUCUGACGUUAGCGGCGGACGGGUGAGUAACACGUGGAUAACCUACCUAUAAGACUGGGAUAACUUCGGGAAACCGGAGCUAAUACCGGAUAAUAUAUUGAACCGCAUGGUUCAAUAGUGAAAGACGGUUUUGCUGUCACUUAUAGAUGGAUCCGCGCCGCAUUAGCUAGUUGGUAAGGUAACGGCUUACCAAGGCAACGAUGCGUAGCCGACCUGAGAGGGUGAUCGGCCACACUGGAACUGAGACACGGUCCAGUCUCCUACGGGAGGCAGCAGUGGGGAAUCUUCCGCAAUGGGCGAAAGCCUGACGGAGCAACGCCGCGUGAGUGAUGAAGGUCUUCGGAUCGUAAAACUCUGUUAUUAGGGAAGAACAAAUGUGUAAGUAACUAUGCACGUCUUGACGGUACCUAAUCAGAAAGCCACGGCUAACUACGUG